RNAcentral lists this ribosomal RNA (329 nucleotides) under uncultured eukaryote. RNAcentral describes it as "partial 18S ribosomal RNA". It matches the Rfam family "Eukaryotic small subunit ribosomal RNA", at positions 1470 to 1796 of the family's 1831-position model. The record is from RNAcentral.
CCCUUAGAUGUUCUGUGCCGCACGCGCGCUACACUGAUGCGUUCAACGAGUAUAGCACCUUGAUCGAUAGGUCUGGGUAAUCUUUUGAACGCGCAUCGUGUUAGGGAUAGACUGUUGCAAUUUUCAGUCUUGAACGAGGAAUUCCUAGUAAACGCAAGUCAUCAGCUUGCAUUGAUUACGUCCCUGCCCUUUGUACACACCGCCCGUCGCACCUACCGAUUGAAUGACUCGGUGAAAAAUUGGGACCGUGAGUCCGUUUGCUUUAUUGCGAGUGGAUUUAUGGGAACUUUUUUAAACCUCGCCAUUUAGAGGAAGGUGAAGUCGUAACA